Balaenoptera ricei (Rice's whale) is the source of this 1572-nucleotide long non-coding RNA. RefSeq lists it as uncharacterized. NCBI's taxonomy places the organism in Eukaryota, Metazoa, Chordata, Mammalia, Artiodactyla, Balaenopteridae. The record is from RefSeq and is a predicted model, not a curated record. The transcript is spliced from 3 exons.
UUGUUUGUUUUUUUGGCUGUGUUGGGUCUUUGUUUCUAUGCGAGCGCUUUCCCUAGUUGCGGCAAGCGGGGGCCACUGUUCAUCGCGGUGGGCGGGCCUCUCACUAUCGCGGCCUCUCUUGUUGCAGAGCACGGGCUCCAGACGCGCAGGCUCAGUAGUUGUGGCUCACGGACCCAGUCGCUCCGGGGCAUGUGCGAUCUUCCCAGACCAGAGCUCGAAUCCGUGUCCCGUGCAUUGGCAGGCAGAUUCUCAACACUGCGCCACCAGGGAAACUCCGGAAUAAAGCCUUUUUGUAGUCAUGAUAUUUGAUUGAUGUAGAAGGCAUGUGGCCAGAUGAUGCAAUUGAAUACUGGUGUUUUAUCUUUACAAGUUCUCCGUCAUUCCAUAAGAAAGCUGCUCGUCUUCUGGUUUCAUAAGAGAUGGUGAACAGUGGUAAAAUAUCCAGUUGACCGAAAUUUCUAGAGUACACUUCAGGGAGCGAGUGAUGGGGUGGAAUGUUGGGGCAGAGUGAGAGAUACAGAUUCUGGUGAGACUGAGAGUCAUGCACAAAAAUUACUGGGCUGUGGUGAAGGGAGAACAAAACUAAAUCAGGUUCCUGCUGGUGGACAGGAAGCCAAGAUGAAGAAGAAUGGUGCGUAGCUGGGCAGUGUAAUUAGGCCCCUAAGUGCUGUGUCUCCUGAUAGUAAUUAUGAACAGAAACCAAAUAAUAGUUACUAAUAACAUGGAGGUGACCAAUCCUUGAGAGCUGAGGCAGAGAGAAGGAAAGAUGGCAUUAUGCCUUGUCUCUGGUGCCUUGAGUUUCCCAGGCUGGUUUGUGACCAAUCUUGGGUGAAAUCAUAACUAAGUCAUUUCUGCUAAGGUGAUCAGCUUUCGUGGGGUCCUUUCUCUGCACUCUGUCCAAUGGUAAAGCCCACUGGUUUAUGCCUCCUGGAAAACAGUUAUUCCAAAGCAGUAUAAGUGAAGCAUUGAUGAAACAGCCAUGAAGAGCAUGUUUCCACAUGGCCUCGCACCACCUUUUCAAAGUGCUGUAAAACUUUUUUCAUCCAAAAAUCAGUAACAGAAAAGGAUUGGGAUCAAAUCCCGUACAGAGGUAGUGUAAGAAAAAAGAGAAUAAGGAGCAGAAUAGCAUGUCUUCAGACAAUAAAAUCAAGUUGGAAAAGACAGGUCCACAAAACAGAUCAAAACUGUAACCUAUUAUUUCAAAGUGGGCUAAAAGAUGUUAGGAAAAACAAUGCGAAAGAUGAAAGAACAUGGAUCGAGGAGGGAAUGGGAAGUUAUUGUUUAGUGGCUAUAGAGUCUCUGUUUGGGAUGGUGGAAAAGUUCUGGAAAUGGUAAAUGCUGAUAAAUGCCACCUAUGGGUGUUUGGUUUUAGUUGAUCUUCUUCCAUGAAAGGGUUUGGAGAGAUUCAGAAGCUAUGCUGCUGCCUCCAUCUUUCUGAUGUCCUGCUCAAUCUUUUGACAUAAUUAUUUUGAAUUUGCACAGUGGUGAUGGUUGCACAGCAUUGUGAAUGUAUUUAAUGUCACUGAAUUGUAUACUUGAAAAUGGUUGAAAUAAUAAAUUUUGUUUUAUGUA